CAGAGGGUGCGAGCGUUGUUCGGAAUUACUGGGCGUAAAGCGCGCGCAGGCGGUCCUUUAAGUCUACCCGUGAAAUGCCGGAGCUCAACUCCGCGCACGCCGGGGGAUACUGGAGGACUGGAGACGAGUAGAGGCAAGCGGAAUUCCGGGUGUAGCGGUGGAAUGCGUAGAGAUCCGGAAGAACACCGGAGGCGAAGGCGGCUUGCUGGGCUUGGUCUGACGCUGAGGCGCGAAAGCGUGGGGAGCGAACAGGAUUAGAUACCCUGGUAGUCCACGCCGUAAACGAUGGGCACUAGACGCGGGUGGGAUCGACCCCUUCCGUGUCGCAGCUAACGCGCUAAGUGCCCCGCCUGGGGAGUACGGCCGCAAGGCUG
RNAcentral lists this ribosomal RNA (374 nucleotides) under uncultured organism. RNAcentral's name for it is "bacterial SSU rRNA". It matches the Rfam family "Bacterial small subunit ribosomal RNA", at positions 526 to 896 of the family's 1533-position model. The record is from RNAcentral.